GAACUCAAAGGAGACUGCCAGUGAUAAACUGGAGGAAGGUGGGGAUGACGUCAAGUCAUCAUGGCCCUUACGACCAGGGCUACACACGUGCUACAAUGGCGCAUACAAAGAGAAGCGACCUCGCGAGAGCAAGCGGACCUCAUAAAGUGCGUCGUAGUCCGGAUUGGAGUCUGCAACUCGACUCCAUGAAGUCGGAAUCGCUAGUAAUCGUGGAUCAGAAUGCCACGGUGAAUACGUUCCCGGGCCUUGUACACACCGCCCGUCACACCAUGGGAGUGGGUUGCAAAAGAAGUAGGUAGCUUAACCUUCGGGAGGGCGCUUACCACUUUGUGAUUCAUGACUGGGGUGAAGUCGUAACAAGGUAACCGUAGGGGAACCUGCGGUUGGAUCACCUCCUUACCUUAAAGAAGC
RNAcentral lists this ribosomal RNA (411 nucleotides) under Salmonella enterica subsp. enterica. RNAcentral's name for it is "bacterial SSU rRNA". It matches the Rfam family "Bacterial small subunit ribosomal RNA", at positions 1135 to 1533 of the family's 1533-position model. The record is from RNAcentral. Lineage: Bacteria; Pseudomonadati; Pseudomonadota; Gammaproteobacteria; Enterobacterales; Enterobacteriaceae.